UUUUCAGCAGUCAGUCUAGAGGGCAUUAUAAAUUCAAAAAAAUUCAAAAAAAUACAAAACCUUGGAAACCUAGCAUUUUUUGUGCAAGAGAUCAUGUGUGCCAAAAUUGAGGUGAUUUGGAGGUGGUCGAAAAAAUGCCCGCAUUCCGGAGGGACCAUUUGGUCUACUUAAGCCAGUUUUUGAAAAAAGGUGAAUUUUUCCACCACCUCCAAAUCACCCCAAUUUUCAUAUACAUGGUGACACACAUGUGCCAAACAUGUCUAUGAAAGAAAUUUUUGGAAAAAAGUAUUUACAAUGCCCCCUAGACUGACUGCUGAAAACAUCGGUCUAUGCCUCAAGGGGGCAUUGUAAAAUAUUUUUGAAAAAAGGUGAAUUUUUCCACCACCUCCAAAUCACCCCAAUUUUCCUGUACAUGGUGACACACAUGUGCCAAACAUGUCUAUGAAAGAAAUUUUUGGAAAAAAGUAUUUUACAA
This 475-nucleotide long non-coding RNA is filed under the name Triticum aestivum (bread wheat). RNAcentral describes it as "long non-coding RNA (TAES_LNC008483)". The record is from RNAcentral. Lineage: Eukaryota; Viridiplantae; Streptophyta; Magnoliopsida; Poales; Poaceae.